GAUGAACGCUGGCGGCGUGCUUAACACAUGCAAGUCGAACGGAAAGGCUCCUGCUUGCAGGGGUACUCGAGUGGCGAACGGGUGAGUAACACGUGGGUGAUCUGCCCUGCACUUCGGGAUAAGCCUGGGAAACUGGGUCUAAUACCGGAUAGGACCACAUUUUGGAUGGUGUGGUGGAAAGUUUUUCGGUGUGGGAUGAGCUCGCGGCCUAUCAGCUUGUUGGUGGGGUAAUGGCCUACCAAGGCGUCGACGGGUAGCCGGCCUGAGAGGGUGUACGGCCACAUUGGGACUGAGAUACGGCCCAGACUCCUACGGGAGGCAGCAGUGGGGAAUAUUGCGCAAUGGGCGCAAGCCUGAUGCAGCGACGCCGCGUGGGGGAUGACGGCCUUCGGGUUGUAAACUCCUUUCGCUAGGGACGAAGCGCAAGUGACGGUACCUGGAGAAGAAGCACCGGCUAACUACGUG
This 465-nucleotide ribosomal RNA is filed under the name uncultured bacterium. Its description in RNAcentral is "partial 16S ribosomal RNA". It matches the Rfam family "Bacterial small subunit ribosomal RNA", at positions 28 to 507 of the family's 1533-position model. The record is from RNAcentral.